AUGACAGCAUUGCUCAUUACAUAAAUUCAAUUCAGUGUUUACAGUUUGGCUUACAGUGCAGAGAGUUUCAAUAAUGGACGGAAAUACUUUUCUUGAGUAUAAAUUUUAAAUCAUAAAUUGGAAAAUACGAUAAAAAAAUUUUUUAUUGUUGCAACUAAACCAUCCACAGACGGAAAAUUGAAAAUGCAUCUUAUGUCCGGCACCAGGAAAUCAAUAGCGUGAACUUUUUUAUGAAAUCGACUCCUAUGGAGUUUGCGGGGUGUAAAAAAUGAUUCGCCCUUUCUGCAGUUUGUGAGGGCGUCUAGAAUGUAACUUUGUCUGAUUUUUAGACAAACGACUUACGAAUUUUAAAUAUACAUUAGUAACAACACGAGAAAAUCAAUGGUGUUAAUUUUUUUUUAAACUCAAAAAAUUAUAACUUUGAAAUCGCUGCACAUUAAGGACUCAAAUUUUCUGAAAAUUCUUUUGUCGAAUAUAUAGAACAUCUCGAUAAGGUUUGAACCAAAUCAGCGAUUUUCCCCGUAAAAAGAAUUUUAUUUGGUGAAAUGACUCAUAUAUGUGUAUGUCAUAACUUUUAAACAACUUGACUGAUUUAGAUCGUUGAUAUACCGAUUGGAAAACUUUGUUGGCCAUUAAAAUUGGUUCGCAUUAAAAGUAAAACGUCUUGAUCGAGUCUGAUAGAACCUAUUUCGAUCGGUUUUGUUUAUUAAUAAAUCUUAUUGAAAUUUGAAGUACUCAAAAAUAUUGAUUUUUCCAAUUUAGAGACACGGUAAGAAAUGCAUGGCGUUUAACACCAUGCUGGUAUGGUCUCAAGACAGAUACUAAAAUAGUAUGUGAAAUAUUCCAAGACAGUUUUAUAACGAGUCCCAGAAGUAUGGCGUUAUUUACUAUACUGGAUAGUACUGAAGCCAUAGCAGGCACACCGAUACAGCAUGGCCCUGAGACCCAUCCUACAAUGCCAUAAUUUCUGGCGUGUCAAUCAAUGUAUACCAUCGUAUUACCACCAAAACUAUAUAGAUGUCGUUAGACUAGGUUUAUCUGCCAGAAUCAUUGUGGAUACGGCAAUGCAGUAAGGGCCUGACGGCCAUACUGACAUUGCGGCGUCCACGACAACUAUCGCCAAUGUUAUUAUUCCUGCAAUGGUUGAAUCAUCUAUGCAUAUAAUUUUAUAACCUAUAAAAAUCUUCGAUACCAUACAGUAUGGCGUUUACGCCCAUACUGGCAUAGUGAUAUCCGCAAAAUAUUUCUUACCGUGUACAGCCGGAAGUUUUGGAGCUGAUCCACAGGGUCAACCAUUUUCCGAAUUUUUCUCUCAAUUUAUAAUAAUUCAAGAAACUUAUUAUAUGUUUCCUGCAGAUUUAUACUUUGAAAUACAAGAAACCUGUUUUGCUUUAUUCUGGAAAUUUUUUUUACUGAUGAUCGCGAAUGGUGUUGAGUGAAUAUUCAUAAGUAUCGAUUGGGCUGAAAGACAAUAGACAGUUUCCGCAACGUAGCCCAAAGCAAUUGUAUUGUUCUUUAAUUAUGAUCAAGUCAGACCAAGUUAUAUGUAAAUUACUGUAUUUUAUAUCAAAAACUUAUCUUUUCUGAUCGAAGAUAUUUAUGUUUCGAUGUAGUAGGGGAGGGUGGGGCA
Microplitis mediator is the source of this 1630-nucleotide long non-coding RNA. RefSeq lists it as uncharacterized. The transcript is spliced from 4 exons. Lineage: Eukaryota; Metazoa; Arthropoda; Insecta; Hymenoptera; Braconidae. The record is from RefSeq and is a predicted model, not a curated record.